CAGAUUCUCGCCAGUGAUGGUGAGCCUUGUCCCUCCCUGCCGAGGGCCUGUCUCUGGGGACAGCUGCAGGAAGGUAGAGGCUGGGGCGGACACAGCAAGGUCUACCGUGCCAGGACUUCUCUUCUGGCUCCAUGGCCCUGCUCCCUCCUACCAAACUAUCUCCAGUAGCCAUGAAGAAGCCACAUCCAUCGCCAGCCUCCAGUGCUAUCCUCCAAGAUUACCUCAGACACCACUUCCAACACCAGGGCAGCCUUGGCUGAGAGCUGCAGUCAGCCAUCUGGGAAAGCAGGGCUAGCUGGGCCCAAGAGCAUCAGGAAAGCUCUGUGAAUAUCAGUCUUUGUCUGCUAAGCAGGUCAGGACUUCUGAGGUAUGAGGUAUUUAGGACCCCACAGUCUGAGCAUAGAUCAAAAGACCACUGAGAAAAGAUUGCUGCACCCACCUCUACCUAGGUUGGCCUGCACUUAGGGCAAGAGCUACAAGGGCUGGGCCUAAGCUUAGCUGCCUCUCACUUUCUGCAGCUGAUGACCUCAGCUCUGUCUUGUGUUCGGGCUGAGGCAGGCAGCUUGACGUCUCUGAGGGGCGGCUCAGCAAUUCAUCACUAUUUUAUCUGAAGGAAUUUAAUUGGAUCCUAUCAAAUUCCCUGAUACUCUCUCUUCCCUUUAAACACUGCUGAAGGGAAGAUAAAUGGGGGUCUACAGAGAAGGGGACAGCAGAGAUGAGGGGUGGAGAGACACAGGAAGCAGAAGCAAGAGAAAAGGGGUGAUAAGAGUCAGAGGGGGUGUGUGUGGGGGUACAGGUUAUGUGAGGAGACAGUAGAAGGAAGGGAGGUGACCAACAGCAUGGGAAAUGGGAGAGUGCAGCCUUCCCUGCUGGGCAGAGAGUUGUCCUUCCACUAACCUGCAGUCCACGCUACCCUGGCAGUAGACUUAACCCCAACCACUGCCCUGUUUGACCGCUAUCAGCUAAGGGCUGCUGGAACCAGGGGGUGGGGACAACUAAAGCCUUGUCAAUCGUUCUGUGUACACAUGCCCUGCCAAUCUGAUCAUAAACCUGUUCCAAAUAA
Myodes glareolus (Bank vole) is the source of this 1063-nucleotide non-coding RNA. NCBI's taxonomy places the organism in Eukaryota, Metazoa, Chordata, Mammalia, Rodentia, Cricetidae. The record is from RefSeq and is a predicted model, not a curated record.